AAAGAGACCACUGUAAGCACAUAAGACUCAAUUUCUCAAACAAAUGUCAAAAUCACAAAUUUGUCAAUAAUUCAAUAAAAUUUCCAUCAUAGAUACAUUUGAUAAAAAUAGAAAUUACAUAAAAAUAGAGAUAGGAAAAAAGACUAUAAAUAUCAAUUAUAUAAUUAGGAAUCAUGGUUGAACCAAAUUAGAAAAUGAAACAAAUAAAUUGAAAUUGAGCUGUAAGGAAUAAAGAGAAGCUGCCAAAAACCAGACAUCUCUCUAAGCUUCACGUAGGGGUGUAUAUGAGACGAUUUGGGUGAGUUCAAUACAUUUUUCUAGAUCAAACCAAAAAAGUCAAUUUUGAUAGUAUUUAAAUUAA
This 361-nucleotide unclassified non-coding RNA is filed under the name Hevea brasiliensis (rubber tree). Lineage: Eukaryota; Viridiplantae; Streptophyta; Magnoliopsida; Malpighiales; Euphorbiaceae. The record is from RNAcentral.